AACGAACGCUGGCGGCAUGCCUAACACAUGCAAGUCGAACGAGACCUUCGGGUCUAGUGGCGCACGGGUGCGUAACGCGGGGGAACCUGCCCUUAGGUUCGGAAUAACUCCCCGAAAGGGGUGCUAAUACCGGGUAAUGUCUUCGGACCAAAGAUUUAUCGCCUUUGGAUGGGCCCGCGUUGGAUUAGCUAGUUGGUAGGGUAAAAGCCUACCAAGGCGACGAUCCAUAGCUGGUCUGAGAGGAUGCUCAGCCACACUGGGACUGAGACACGGCCCAGACUCCUACGGGAGGCAGCAGUGGGUAAUAUUGGACAAUGGGCGAAAGCCUGAUCCAGCAAUGCCGCGUGAGUGAUGAAGGCCUUAGGGUUGUACAGCUCUUUUACCCGGGAUGAUAAUGACAGUACCGGGAGAAUAAGCUCCGGCUAACUCCGUG
RNAcentral lists this ribosomal RNA (433 nucleotides) under uncultured bacterium. RNAcentral describes it as "partial 16S ribosomal RNA". It matches the Rfam family "Bacterial small subunit ribosomal RNA", at positions 29 to 507 of the family's 1533-position model. The record is from RNAcentral.